GACAGAGGUGCCGAGCGUUAGGCGGAAUCACUGGGCUUAAAGCGUGUGUAGGCGGAUCGUUAAGUGCCUUGUGAAAUCCCACGGCUCAACCGUGGAACUGCUUGGCAUACUGGCGAUCUUGAGCCACUUAGGGGCUACCGGAACAAAUGGUGGAGCGGUGAAAUGCGUAGAUAUCAGUUGGAACGCCAAUGGUGAAAACAGGUAGCUGGGAGUGUGCUGACGCUGAGACACGAAAGCCAGGGGAGCAAACGGG
This 253-nucleotide ribosomal RNA is filed under the name uncultured bacterium. RNAcentral describes it as "partial 16S ribosomal RNA". It matches the Rfam family "Bacterial small subunit ribosomal RNA", at positions 524 to 776 of the family's 1533-position model. The record is from RNAcentral.